CUUGGUGCUGUGUGUGGGCAGCGUCGGUGCAUGUGCUUUUGUCCCUCACCAAAGCUGACCAGACAAACCUUUGGCUGAGUGGAGUGUCUGUCUCGGUCCUCUCAGUGGGGGCUACAGCGGAGAAGAGGGAAAGGAAAAGAAAAAAUCAGGGCCUCAAAAAUGAGGUGGGGGUGAAAGAAAAGAAGCUUGGAAAAAGAUUGCGAGACACCCUGAGACUGGCAAAAAAAAAAAAAAAAAGACAGUGGCCACUUCACACAGAGGUCCCUUUGUGGCCCGGGAAAAAGUCCAACACUGGCUCAGACGGGCCCAAAAGAGAGGCCCUCAGCUGUUCACAGUACAGUCAGCCGUGCCCCCGUCCGUCUCACAUGGGACAGCGCUCUGUCUUUUGGACACUAUGUCAUCAAGCUAGUCAUUCAUCCGGACGUCAAUAAGUGCCAAUCGGCGAGAGGUUAUGUGGGGUUUGCACGCGCUCCCCCGAGGAGAAAGCGCCAGCCGUUCUGAAUAACCUCACGCCGAUGAGCUUUUUUUGAUGCGGCGCCAAAAAGUCUGAGUCUUUGGGCGACAUUGGGUAUCUUGCCCAUCGAUCCCCAAACGAAACAAUGCUUGCAGGAACUUGCGUCUGCACUUUUCUCCAUUACAGAUAGAUUGGGGAAGGGCAGGGGAGGCUAGUCUGAGCUUCCAAAGCAUAAACCUGUUAUUUAAAAAAAAAAAAGUCUGAAGCCUUCAAAAUUGUGAGGUCCUUUCAGAUUUUGUUCUCAAACAGAUUGCUCCCCCCAGAUCUUCAUCUGUUUUUCAUCGCCAACUCAAACCGUAUUGUCACUGGUUUAUGAAAGACAUGUGUCUAUACACACACACACACACACACACAAGUCACAUUCUUGCGGAAACUGUACCGUGAGAUUCAUCGCACAGCAUCAACCGCGCAACUAUCAUUCAUUUGUCUGAUCAUCAACUUUGCAACAAAAAAAAAAAAAGCCCGAUCCCAACCCGGAGGGGAGAAAUCGGGAGAAAAUCUAUGCCGAGAGACUGAAAGAACUACAGAAUGACACUAACAAGCCUGAAUGCUCCAAAUUUUGCCAUGUCUCUGAGCACAUUGUGAAAAAAAGCGCCUCAAUUGAGAAGCAAAGAAAAAAAAAAAAAAGCCCUGCGUGACGGAGCCCCAGCGCUGGCCCAGAGCCUGGCCCGGCCCGGCCCGUUUUUGUUUGUAAUUACUGUUUGAUUAAGCAUGCUGGGCAGCUCUGCUGGGCAGCUCCCAGCGUCCGGCUGGCAGGCCACUGAUACGCGGCUCGACACGAAACGUCUGCGACCUCCCUUACUCCUUUCUCGCCCUUUGGCAGAAAUGGUUUACGCGGCCCGUCUUGGAAAAUAAGCGCUAAUCCAAUGGCGAUAUGUUAGCCGCGGGCAGGGCAAGCGCGUUCCCGCUCCUCACAUAAAGACAACACCAUCAUCUUAAAAGCGCUCGUGAAGCCUCGUUAUGGACUUCUCCAAAGGCACUCGGGUUUUACAAGAGAGACCAGACGCGUUAUUGGCCAGCGGGGAAUCGAGACGGGAAGCAAAGAGAGGACGUACGCUGAAGCGUGAAACCAGCCCACCCUGUUUAAUGCUGAGCACGGCGCAUCUUCUAAUUGGCAAAUAUUUGCUUUUUUCUUCAUUUAAAGCAAAAGUGUCCAACUCAUUUUUUGUGGCGGCCCACAUUUGAGUUACAGUUUCCCCUCGAUGAAAUGAAUGGGUGUGGAUAUUAUCACAUCCAACAAUUGUCCAGCAAUUUUCCAAUUUAUUUUGAAAUUGGGAUUAAAACAAUCCAAUAUCUCACUGUUAUUAAAAGAAAAGACAAUCUAGAGUUUGGGCAUUUUAACAAGAAACAUCGAGUUGACACUCGGGUUUUUGCCGGCCACAUAAAAUGAUGCGGUGGGCCGGAUCUGGCCCCCUGGCCUUGACUUUGACAUCUGUGUCCCAUCUGAGCGACAGAUUUGCGGGCCUUAUCCUAAAGAUGUGGCCGUUUCAGUAAUUGUUUUGAAUGUCCAUCUUAACCGUCUCGAGUUGGACAGACAUACAUUUUUUUUCCCCCAAAAGCUAAUGCAUUAACCAAUACUUAAUUAAGCCAGGAAGUGGACAUGGAUGUGGCAGUUAAAGCUUGUGUUAUUCAAACGGGAGCUCCAUGUCUUACGAACAAAAUGACAAGAAAAUAUGUUGUCAGAAUCAGCAUAAAGUGCCCGCAGGCGCGCUAUAUUUAGCCCAACCGGUGUAAGUCUGCACGACAGGGGUGUAUCUUCUCCAAGCCUCAGACAGCGAGCACGUUUGCGACGCCGGUGUCAAGCCCACGGCCGCCGCCUCCCACCCCCUGGUUGCCGCCCCAGACAACUCAAGUGGUGUUUUGUCUGCUGGGCCUCUCGAAAGGCACGUGAAAUUAAAAAAAACGUCAGCUGUGUCCGGCGUCCGCAAAUGUCGGAUGUCUUUGAAAGGCGUCGGACAAGUGGCUUAAUUAUGCGUCUUCCACUAAAUAGCACGUCAUUCAUCAACGCUCUCUUCCAUAGAGAGGAGAAGGACUCUUCAGCGUUGUCGGCGUUGCACGCUAGUAGCUAAAGUUAGCGAACGUUGUGGCGAGAGAGAAAGAGCCAAUAAAAAGCUUGCGUGAACAUUCACAGGGUGCUUGGACACAAUAUGAUGUUUUAUUCGUAGAGCUUCUGGACUGAUCCGCUUUGUUGGGAGACAUUACUAAGUGACAAAUAUCCGCUUCAAAGGUAUUCUUUUAUUUAUUUUUUUCCUACAAGUGCUAACAAUAAUGCGUCAACACCGGCGUUUGCAAAUGUGGAUCUUUUGGUAAAAAUAGACAGCUCCAAGUCAUUUCGAUGUCAACUGGCAAUACAUAUCUGUUGAAAAGAGCCCGCCCGUAUGGGAUGCAACAAAGCGGCCACAAAAGGAGCUAGCGCUUCCAUCCUGACGGUAUGCGUAAUGUGAGAUUGGAGAUGACCCUCACGCCAGCUGCUUCUUGUUCUCUUGGCCACGCCUGUUCCCACACACACACACACACAUGAGCCGGCAACCUGAGAUUUGCUUCCACGCCCAAUCCAUAAUUGGCACGCUUUUUACACUUCAAAGACGUUGCAGAGGUGGGAACCGGCCAAGGUUGUUGAGUGAGGCUCCGGGUCUGGCUUAAGGGCGCGAGGGGAGUAUCGAGUGUUGGAAGGAGAAACACGAGGCUAAGCGAAGCAACAGUAAGAGCGCAGAGGACGCGGCGCUCCCAGGUCUUGGCCAAAACUCCGUGAGGUCCUUGGGUAGUAGCUCGCUCGUCCCCCUGGUAUUUUCUGCCUUCAUCCAACUUGGCCGCCCGUCAUCUCAGAUGAAUUGUUUUCUUGGACGUCGUGAGGCCGAAAUAUUUUCGAGGCGUUUUUCUUUCCAUUUACGUUUGCUGCAAAAAAUCCUUAAAAUGUCCCGAACUUAUUUAUCUAUUUAAAAAAAAAAAAAAAAAAAACACUCAAUCUGCAAAUGAAAUCAGCAAGAAUGUUGAGAGCAGAUAAAGUGGCUUUGAAUUUCCAGCGUGUGGGAAAAGCAUUGCGGGAAAUGUGAAGUGUAAAUCAUGCAAACAAUAUGGCUGAAGGACACUUUGCGUCUGUCACGCAUCGACAGUGUUUUGUUUUUUUUCUCUUGAAUUCAGCCUCGAUAAGCUUCCUCAGCUAUGCCUCGAUAUCUACUCUUUUUAGAAGCAAACUCUGACAAUCAUGGUCAUUAAUGGCAGAUUGAACGUAACCAAUCAGGUUUAAAAGGAGGCCAAGGUUAUCCAAGUGCAAAAUAACAAAACGCUCCAGUGGACAGGAAGUCAGAUUUGACUUGAAAUGCCAAAAUAAGGCCAAACAUCUUUGAUUUCAUGCAUGCUUAGAGCACUGAGAGAAAAAAGAAAAAAACACAUUGUCACUUGACCAACACAAACAUCCACGCAGCCAAAUAGCGGCGGUUUACGCAAACGGCCCCUGCCGAUCCCACCCGGAGCAUUGAGGGUUACCGGCUUUCGGCGUUGUACUGGAGCCCCCCGUGCUCUUUAUUUGACACGCGGCCCAGAGGUGUCACAAAUAGCGACACGCUUUUACGUGACGGAGACUUUAGCGUGGCCGGCGCCCCCACCCGCUCUUAAGCUCUGCAUUCUGUCUGCGCAGCCAGCCAGGUAUUGUCGGACGGCCGGCCGGCCAACCAGCCAGUGAAUAGUGUCAAACUCGAUGCUUCUCAUUUUGCUUCCUGUACGUGGCAGAAGAAAGAAAAAGUAGCCAGCCAGCCAGGGUGUUUUUCCUUUUGUAAAGGCUGCCGCCUAGUCCUCCUGGGAACGCAGCGCAUUCCAGCCACGUCCGUAUUGUGGCCCGCAGUGUGCCGGCCGGCCGGGCCGAUAACCUCGUGAGUGCGAGCGAGCGUAGUCCCAGUCUAGACUGCUACCUGCUUACAGUGGCCCAUAAUGAGCUAAGAGCGUUUCCAGUGCCUCUGUUUUUCCCUUAAGUGUCUUUUGAGUGAGAUGCGAUUCAAGCGCCACUCAGCGUACUAUUUUUCUUACGCUUGAAUGGUGAAAGCUGAGUGUUGGCAAACUUCACACUCUUGCUGCUAGAGAAGAUUUGUUAUUGUCAGUUGAAUGUCAAGAAAAUGCAUUCCUAUUCCUAAUUUUUACUUAUUUUUUUUGUCAGGGAAUUUGAAUAUCAACCACCCACACUAAUGAUGACGUAUAUUCCCGAUCAGGAUGUACAUGCUCCGCCUAUUUUUUUUUUUCUUUCAAUCUAUGUGGCCUUGCAAGGCUGCCCCACCCACCGCCAGAUUAUAGAACUGUACUCGUAGGCAAAGAGCGACACACGUACUCUCAUGUCUGUAUUAUACUGCCCCCCCACCCCCCUGGUGGCCAAGGGGUGCACACCAGAAGGAGCAGCGCAAUCCCCAUUGAAGGGAAGGAAAAAACUUCUUUACAUUCUAUUGAAUUGAGUAAUUGCUGUUAUGACAUAAAAAUAUUCUGGAGUGCUGUUUUUCUUAUUAAAAGAAAUCUUUUUUUGGGGGGCGGGGAGAAACUGAAACAAAUUAAUGGCCUUUCCAUUCAUUUCGAUGAGAAAAGAUGAUUUGAGGUCCCAGUGUGGUCUGUCAGAAAACCUUGUUCACUAAUAACCUAAUAAUGUUACUGCUAAGAGACAAAAAUAAAUCACCCCCCACGCCCUUGUUAGAAAAUCUUUUUGUCCAAAAAAUGCCCCAUGUGACUGCUGAGAAGCAAACCGUGGUAUGUUCUUGGAUCCUCGUCUUAUCCACACACAAUCGCUACUUAAAUCCAGCCGACAGCAACGUUGUUUGGGUUUCUCCGACGGCUUCCCGACUUGCUUCAAAAAAAAAAAAAAAAAAAAACAUUGGCGUCUUAAUUUAGUUGCAC
Molecule: long non-coding RNA, 5386 nt
Organism: Syngnathus typhle (broad-nosed pipefish)
Lineage: Eukaryota; Metazoa; Chordata; Actinopteri; Syngnathiformes; Syngnathidae
Exons: 2
Source: RefSeq, a predicted model, not a curated record